This 60-nucleotide transfer RNA is filed under the name Proasellus margalefi. Its description in RNAcentral is "transfert RNA-W(TGA)". Lineage: Eukaryota; Metazoa; Arthropoda; Malacostraca; Isopoda; Asellidae. The record is from RNAcentral.
AGGAUCUUAAGUUAAUAAAACUGUUGGCCUUCAAAGUCAAAAAUAAUAUAGAUUAGAUCU